GACGAACGCUGGCGGCGUGCUUAACACAUGCAAGUCGAACGGAAAGGCCCUGCUUUUGUGGGGUGCUCGAGUGGCGAACGGGUGAGUAACACGUGAGUAACCUGCCCUUGACUUUGGGAUAACUUCAGGAAACUGGGGCUAAUACCGGAUAGGAGCUCCUGCUGCAUGGUGGGGGUUGGAAAGUUUCGGCGGUUGGGGAUGGACUCGCGGCUUAUCAGCUUGUUGGUGGGGUAGUGGCUUACCAAGGCUUUGACGGGUAGCCGGCCUGAGAGGGUGACCGGCCACAUGGCGACUGAGAUACGGCCCAGACUCCUACGGGAGGCAGCAGUGGGGAAUAUUGCACAAUGGGCGGAAGCCUGAUGCAGCAACGCCGCGUGCGGGAUGACGGCCUUCGGGUUGUAAACCGCUUUCGCCUGUGACGAAGCGUGAGUGACGGUAAUGGGUAAAGAAGCACCGGCUAACUACGUG
RNAcentral lists this ribosomal RNA (468 nucleotides) under uncultured bacterium. Its description in RNAcentral is "partial 16S ribosomal RNA". It matches the Rfam family "Bacterial small subunit ribosomal RNA", at positions 28 to 507 of the family's 1533-position model. The record is from RNAcentral.